Molecule: long non-coding RNA, 277 nt
Filed under: Elaeis guineensis (African oil palm)
Lineage: Eukaryota; Viridiplantae; Streptophyta; Magnoliopsida; Arecales; Arecaceae
Description: long non-coding RNA (EGUI_LNC004383)
Source: RNAcentral
GCCGAAGUAAAACUGAUGCUGGAGCUUCAUCCGAACACUUGCAAAAUAAGUCCUCACCGGAGAUGACGUUCUUCGGUAAAGAUUCUCCAAUGCUUAAGUCAGAAAAUGAAGAACAAUGAAAGGAGAGAGCAAGGAGUCGAUUGCGUAUCUUGGAGAGUUCCAGAACCUUAAUUUAUAGAAAAGAAGUUUAAGCCGUAUCCAUCUCAAAGUCCUGAUGAUUUUCAUAUUUGUCGCACAGAUUGAUUCGGAGAAGACAUAUUUUUUUUAUGGAAGACUC